Molecule: ribosomal RNA, 2832 nt
Filed under: human gut metagenome
Description: bacterial LSU rRNA
Rfam family: Bacterial large subunit ribosomal RNA
Source: RNAcentral
UCAAGCGAACAAGGGCGCAGGGCGAAUGCCUUGGCACUGGGAGCCGAUGAAAGACGUGAUAAGCUGCGAUAAGCUUCGGGGAGCUGCAAAUAAGCAUUGAUCCGGAGAUUUCUGAAUGAGGAAACUCACCUGGGUUCAUACUCAGGUACGUUAUACUGAACUUAAAAAUAGGUAUAUCGAGGGAACCGCCUGAACUGAAACAUCUAAGUAGGGCGAGGAAGAGACAUCAAACGAGAUUCCGUAAGUAGUGGCGAGCGAACGCGGAAGAGGGCAAACCGAGAGUAGAAAUACUUUCGGGGUACGGACUGCUUUUAAGACUCAAUCUGUUAACCGAACGGCAUGGGAAGGCCGGUCAGAGAGUGUGAGAACCACGUAGGUGAAAACGGAGAGAGCUGCGCAGGAUCCAGAGUACGGCCAGACACGUGAAACCUGGUCGGAAUACGGGGGGACCACCCUCCAACCCUAAAUACUACCCAGUGACCGAUAGCGUAUAGUACUGUGAAGGAAAGGUGAAAAGCACCCCGGGAGGGGAGUGAAAAAGAACCUGAAACCCUGUGCCUACAAGCACCUAGAGCACGUCAAUGUGUGAUAGGGUACUUUUUGUAGAACGGUCCGGCGAGCGAUUGUAUGCAGCAAGGUUAAGGACUUAAGGUCUGGAGCCGAAGCGAAAGCGAGUUUGAAAAGGGCGUUAAGUUGCAUACAAUGGGCCCGAAACCGGGUGACCUACCCAUGGUCAGGUUGAAGUGGAAGUAAAAUUCCAUGGAGGACCGAACCGACCUCCGUUGAAAAGGCGGCGGAUGAACUGUGGGUAGCGGAGAAAUUCCAAUCGAACCCGGAGAUAGCUGGUUCUCCCCGAAAUAGUUUUAGGACUAGCCUCAAGUUAGAUACCUGGAGGUAAAGCACUGAAUAGCCUAGCGGCCGAGAGGUUAGCGAAGCUUAUCAAACUCAGAAUGCCAGAGUAUUGAUGCUUGGGAGUCAGACAGUGUCAGAUAAAUGUCAUUGUCAAAAGGGAAACAGCCCAGAUCUACAGCUAAGGUCCCAAAGUCAGGUUAAGUGGAAAACGAUGUGAAGAUACGCAGACAACCAGGAUGUUGGCUCAGAAGCAGCCACUCAUUCAAAGAGUGCGUAAUAGCUCACUGGUCGAGCGUCUUUGCGCGGAGAAUUUAACGGGGCUAAACCUGACACCGAAGCUUAGGCAAUACAGCAAUGUAUUGGGUAGGGGAGCGUUGUAUACGCGGUGAAACAGUAGCGCAAGCGGCUGUGGAGUGUAUAGAAGUGAGAAUGCCGGAAUGAGUAGCGCGAAUGCAGUGAGAAUCUGCAUGGCCGAAAGCCUCAGGUUUCUGGAGGAAGGUUCGUCCGCUCCAGGUUAGUCGGGAGCUAAGGUGAGGCCUAACGGCGUAGCCGAUGCACAGACGGUAGAGAUUCCGUCACCACCAAAAGAGUUAAACACAGGGACACAUUUGAAGUCUCGGAGCCGGGUGUUGGUUCCGGUAGCGAUCGAGGGAAGUUAGUACCGAAGUCCGGGAUGGAAGAUGGCGAGAAAAGCUGUGUGUAUUUCUGCGGUGCCCGUACCGCAAACCGACACAGGUAGGUAGGAAGAAGAUUCUAAGGCCAACGGGAGAAGGGUUGUUAAGGAACUCGGCAAAUUGACCCCGUAACUUCGGGAGAAGGGGUGCUCCAGAGAUGGAGCCGCAGAGAAUCGGCCCAAGCAACUGUUUACCAAAAACACAGGUUUGUGCUAAAUCGAAAGAUGACGUAUACGAGCUGACGCCUGCCCGGUGCUGGAAGGUUAAGAGGAGAUGUGCAAGCAUUGAAUCGAAGCCCCAGUGAACGGCGGCCGUAACUAUAACGGUCCUAAGGUAGCGAAAUUCCUUGUCAGGUAAGUUCUGACCCGCAUGAAAGGCGUAAUGAUUUGGGCACUGUCUCAACAGCCCGCCCGGCGAAAUUGUAGUACCGGUGAAGAUGCCGGUUACCCGCGACAAGACGGAAAGACCCCAUGGAGCUUUACUGUAGCCUAAUAUUGGGUUUCGAUGUUGCAUGCACAGGAUAGAUGGGACACAGGGAAACAAGUGCUUUGGCAUUUGUGGAGUGGCCGUUGGGAUACCAUCCUUGCGAUAUUGGAAUUCUAACCUGCGCCUUUGAAUCAAGGCGGGGGACAUUGUUAGGUGGGCAGUUUGACUGGGGCGGUCGCCUCCUAAAGAGUAACGGAGGCGUUCAAAGGUUCGCUCAGCUUGAACGGAAAUCAAGCAAAAGAGUGCAAACGCAGAAGCGAGCCUAACUGCGAGACUGACGGGUCGAGCAGUAACGAAAGUUGGAGUUAGUGAUCCGGUGGUAUGUGAGUGGAAAUGCCAUCGCUCAACGGAUAAAAGUUACCCUGGGGAUAACAGGCUGAUCUCCCCCAAGAGUCCACAUCGACGGGGAGGUUUGGCACCUCGAUGUCGGCUCAUCACAUCCUGGGGCUGUAUUCGGUCCCAAGGGUUCGGCUGUUCGCCGAUUAAAGUGGUACGCGAGCUGGGUUCAGAACGUCGCGAGACAGUUCGGUCCCUAUCUGUCGUGGGCGCAGGAUAUUUGAGGAGCUCUGUCCUUAGUACGAGAGGACCGGGAUGGACGUACCUCUGGUGCACCAGUUGUCAUGCCAAUGGCACGGCUGGGCAGCUACGUACGGAACGGAUAAACGCUGAAAGCAUCUAAGCGUGAAGCCGACUCCAAGAUUAGAUAUCCCAUUGCAUAAGCAAGUAAGACCCCUUGAGGACUACGAGGUUGAUAGGCUGCGUGUGUAAGUGUCGUGAGGCAUUUAGCUUGGCAGUACUAAUAGGUCGAGGGCUUGACCAC